CCGGGGCAUCCCGGAGGCAGGAAAGGCUUCGGCCGGACAGGGAUGGGCAUGCGGCGCAUUAGGCAGUAGGCGGGGUAACGGCCCACCUAACCGACGAUGCGUAGGGGUUCUGAGAGGAAGGUCCCCCACACUGGUACUGAGACACGGACCAGACUCCUACGGGAGGCAGCAGUGAGGAAUAUUGGUCAAUGGUCGGGAGACUGAACCAGCCAAGCCGCGUGAGGGAUGAAGGUACAGAGUAUCGUAAACCUCUUUUGUCAGGGAACAAAGGCGGGGACGUGUCCCCGGAUGAGUGUACCUGAAGAAAAAGCAUCGGCUAACUCCGUGCCAGCAGCCGCGGUAAUACGGAGGAUGCGAGCGUUAUCCGGAUUUAUUGGGUUUAAAGGGUGCGCAGGCGGUCUGUUAAGUCAGCGGUCAAAGCCCGGGGCUCAACCCCGGCCCGCCGUUGAAACUGGCAGUCUCGAGUUGGAGAGAAGUAUGCGGAAUGCGCGGUGUAGCGGUGAAAUGCAUAGAUAUCGCGCAGAACUCCGAUUGCGAAGGCAGCAUGCCGGCUCCACACUGACGCUGAGGCACGAAAGCGUGGGUAUCGAACAGGAUUAGAUACCCUGGUAGUCCACGCAGUAAACGAUGCAUACAGGGUGUCCGGG
Molecule: ribosomal RNA, 647 nt
Filed under: uncultured bacterium
Lineage: Bacteria
Description: bacterial SSU rRNA
Rfam family: Bacterial small subunit ribosomal RNA
Source: RNAcentral